CAAUAGCGUAUAUUAAAGUUGUUGCGGUUAAAAAGCUCGUAGUUGGAUUUCUGCCGAGGACGACCGGUCCGCCCUCUGGGUGUGUAUCUGGUUUGGCCUGGGCAUCUUCUUGGAGAACGUAGCUGCACUUGACUGUGUGGUGCGGUGUCCAGGACUUUUACUUUGAGGAAAUUAGAGUGUUUCAAGCAGGCACACGCCUUGAAUACAUUAGCAUGGAAUAAUAAGAUAGGACCUCGGUUCUAUUUUGUUGGUUUCUAGAGCUGAGGUAAUGAUUAAUAGGGAUAGUUGGGGGCAUUCGUAUUUAACUGUCAGAGGUGAAAUCCUUGGAUUUGUUAAAGACGGACUACUGCGAAAGCAUUUGCCAAGGAUGUUUUCAUUGA
RNAcentral lists this ribosomal RNA (380 nucleotides) under uncultured eukaryote. Its description in RNAcentral is "partial 18S ribosomal RNA". It matches the Rfam family "Eukaryotic small subunit ribosomal RNA", at positions 592 to 976 of the family's 1831-position model. The record is from RNAcentral.